Long non-coding RNA from Gekko japonicus, 129 nucleotides. RefSeq lists it as uncharacterized. Lineage: Eukaryota; Metazoa; Chordata; Lepidosauria; Squamata; Gekkonidae. The record is from RefSeq and is a predicted model, not a curated record. The transcript has 2 exons.
GCCGCGUGGUUAGGCGCGUUGCAUUGUGGGAGCUCCUUCCUUUCCUCGUUCCCCGGCCAUCUUGGAGGCGCUUUUCUGGAAACGGCCGGCCCGACCUGAGCCGCAAGGAUGGUGGCCGCCAAGAAGACG